GAUGAACGCUGGCGGCGUGCCUAAUACAUGCAAGUCGAGCGAACAGACGAGGAGCUUGCUCCUCUGACGUUAGCGGCGGACGGGUGAGUAACACGUGGAUAACCUACCUAUAAGACUGGGAUAACUUCGGGAAACCGGAGCUAAUACCGGAUAAUAUAUUGAACCGCAUGGUUGAAUAGUGAAAGACGGUUUUGUUGUUACUUUAAUAGGGUUCCGCGCCGCUUUAGCUAGUUGGUAAGGUAAGGGCUUACCAAGGCGGUGAGGCGUAGCCGACCUGAGCGAGUGAUCGGCCACACUGGAACUGAGACACGGUCCAGACUCCUACGGGGAGACGCAGUAGGGAAUCUUCCGCGAUGGGCGAGAGCCUGACGGAGCAACGCCGCGUAAGUGAUGAAGGUCUUCGGAUCGUAAAACUCUGUUAUUAGGGAAGAACAAAUGUGUAAGUAACUAUGCACAUCUUGACGGUACCUAAUCAGAAAGCCACGGCUAACUCCGUG
RNAcentral lists this ribosomal RNA (497 nucleotides) under uncultured bacterium. RNAcentral's name for it is "partial 16S ribosomal RNA". It matches the Rfam family "Bacterial small subunit ribosomal RNA", at positions 28 to 507 of the family's 1533-position model. The record is from RNAcentral.